GUUUUGUAUUCCCGCUGGUGCCACCUAAGGAUUCAGCCCUUCCAUUUGAGUCCUGCUAGUGCCACCUAAGGAUUCAAACCCUUCCAUUUGAGUCCUGGAAAUUGAUGUCAAUGUAAUUCUGCCAGAUGAGUACAAAGCAGUCAAAGAGAUGAAGGAAUGGGAGACACAGUGUUAAUAUAAAGCAGAGAACUCAAAGUGGAGGAAGAUCUUUCCUCACUCUGCCUAAGAGGUCAAAAUGGCAGCUUCCAAAGAGGAGAAAAGGUACUAAAAGAAUGACUGAAAAAAAGGUGAGGAAGCUGGAAAGUAGCUGGAUAACAGCACGAUAUGCA
Molecule: long non-coding RNA, 329 nt
Filed under: Capra hircus (goat)
Lineage: Eukaryota; Metazoa; Chordata; Mammalia; Artiodactyla; Bovidae
Description: lncRNA (ENSCHIG00000004454.1)
Source: RNAcentral